Molecule: ribosomal RNA, 303 nt
Filed under: uncultured bacterium
Lineage: Bacteria
Description: partial 16S ribosomal RNA
Rfam family: Bacterial small subunit ribosomal RNA
Source: RNAcentral
AGCAGUCGCCGCGGUAAUACGGAGGGUGCAAGCGUUAAUCGGAAUUACUGGGCGUAAAGCGUGCGUAGGCGGUUCGUUAAGUCUGUUGUGAAAGCCCCGGGCUCAACCUGGGAAUGGCAAUGGAUACUGGCGAGCUAGAGUGUGUCAGAGGAUGGUGGAAUUCCCGGUGUAGCGGUGAAAUGCGUAGAGAUCGGGAGGAACAUCAGUGGCGAAGGCGGCCAUCUGGGACAACACUGACGCUGAGGCACGAAAGCGUGGGGAGCAAACAGGGUUAGAUACCCUGUAGUCCCUGUCUCUUAUACA